GACGAACGCUGGCGGCGUGCUUAACACAUGCUAGUCGAACGGAAAGGCCCCUUUGGGGGUACUCGAGUGGCGAACGGGUGAGUAACACGUGAGUAACCUGCCCUUGACUUCGGGAUAACUUCAGGAAACUGGGGCUAAUACCGGAUAGGAAUCCUUGCUGCAUGGUGGGGGUUGGAAAGCUUCGGCGGUUUUGGAUGGACUCGCGGCUUAUCAGCUUGUUGGUGGGGUAGUGGCUUACCAAGGCUUUGACGGGUAGCCGGCCUGAGAGGGCGACCGGCCACAUUGGGACUGAGAUACGGCCCAGACUCCUACGGGAGGCAGCAGUGGGGAAUAUUGCACAAUGGGCGGAAGCCUGAUGCAGCAACGCCGCGUGCGGGAUGACGGCCUUCGGGUUGUAAACCGCUUUCAGCAGGGGCGAAGCUUGUGGUGACGGUACCUGCAGAAGAAGCACCGGCUAACUACGUG
RNAcentral lists this ribosomal RNA (465 nucleotides) under uncultured bacterium. RNAcentral's name for it is "partial 16S ribosomal RNA". It matches the Rfam family "Bacterial small subunit ribosomal RNA", at positions 28 to 507 of the family's 1533-position model. The record is from RNAcentral.